This 3653-nucleotide ribosomal RNA is filed under the name Paulbroadya prostrata. RNAcentral describes it as "SSU rRNA". The stretch from base 1 to 2615 matches the Rfam family "Eukaryotic small subunit ribosomal RNA". The record is from RNAcentral. Lineage: Eukaryota; Viridiplantae; Chlorophyta; Ulvophyceae; Ulvales.
UAGUCAUAUGCUUGUCUCAAAGAUUAAGCCAUGCAUGUCUAAGUAUAAACUGCUUAUACGGCGAAACUGCGAAUGGCUCAUUAAAUCAGUUAGAGUUUAUUUGAUGGUACCUUACUACUCGGAUAACCGUAGUAAAGCUACAGCUAAUACGUGCGCAGAUCCCGACUCACGAAGGGACGUAUUUAUUAGAUUCAAGGCCGCCCGUGCUUGCACGCUCUUGGUGAAUCAUGGUAACUUCACGAAUCGCACGGCCUCGUGCCGGCGAUGUUUCAUUCAACUUUCUGCCCUAUCAACUUUCGACGGUAGGAUAGAGGCCUGCCGUGGUUGUAACGGGUGACGGAGAAUUAGGGUUCGAUUCCGGAGAGGGAGCCUGAGAAACGGCUACCACAUCCAAGGAAGGCAGCAGGCGCGCAAAUUACCCAAUCUCGAAACGAGGAGGUAGUGACAAUCAAUAUCAAUACUGGGCCUUCUGGUCCGGUAAUUGGAAUGAGUACAAUCUAAAUCCGUUAACGAGGAUCCAUUGGAGGGCAAGUCUGGUGCCAGCAGCCGCGGUAAUUCCAGCUCCAAUAGCGUAUAUUUAAGUUGUUGCAGUUAAAAAGCUCGUAGUUGGAUUUCGGGUGGGCUACGCCGGUCUCCUAACGGUUGUACUGGCGACGCCCGCCUUGCUGCCGGGGACGGGCUCCCGCCUUAAUUGUCGGGACCCGGAAUCGGCGACGUUACUUUGAGUAAAUUAGAGUGUUCAAAGCAAGCCUACGCUCUGAAUAUAAUAGCAUGGGAUAACACGACAGGACUCUGGCCUAUCGUGUUGGUCUGUAGGCCCAGAGUAAUGAUUAAGAGGGACAGUCGGGGGCAUUCGUAUUCCGUUGUCAGAGGUGAAAUUCUUGGAUUUACGGAAGCCGAACAUCUGCGAAAGCAUUUGCCAAGGAUGUUUUCAUUGAUCAAGAACGAAAGUUGGGGGCUCGAAGACGAUUAGAUCCCGUCGUAGUCUCAACCAUAAACGAUGCCGACUUAGGGAUUGGCGGAAGUUCUUUUGAUGACUCCGCCAGCACCUCAUGAGAAAUCAAAGUUUUUGGGUUCCGGGGGGAGUAUGGUCGCAAGGCUGAAACUUAAAGGAAUUGACGGAAGGGCACCACCAGGCGUAAACUUAAGCUGCACUUGCAGGCUCUGCGCCAGCCAAGGCGUGACGAAGGCUGUGUGUUUGGACAUCUGCUCUGGACAUCUGCUCUGGACAUUUGGACCAGAUGAAGCGGUCGCCCUGUCACAGUGAGACACCUUGGCUAGUCGUUGUGGACUCUCGCCUCGCAUACCACAAUGGCAACAUCAUCGAACUGCUGGAAUCCCCUAAAGCUCUGGGUACCAAGCGGCCGCCGCAAGGCGCCCGUGGCUCCGCUCAGGAGAGGUGACAACCCCAGAGAUGCACCAAUGGGCAAUCAGCAGCGAAGCCUCACCGCGGUGAGGAACGUUCAGAGACUAGGCGGUGAUGGGUCAGCGCGAGCUGGCUUAAGAUAUAGUCCAAUCCCCGGCGAGAGCCGACGGCAGGAGGAGGGGGUGCGACCCCAGAGCCUGCCGGUAGGGUUGACCAGAUUCUCUUUACAAGGGAGCCUGCGGCUUAAUUUGACUCAACACGGGAAAACUUACCAGGUCCAGACAAGGGAAGGAUUGACAGAUUGAAAGCUCUUUCUUGAUUCUUUGGGUGAACAUACACUACUGCCCAUGAUAGCGGGGCGAAAGCCCUCCUGCUAGUCGCGCCCUGCCCGCUCAUCGCGAGGGCAGGGCGCUGGCGAGACCGUCGAAUUGCGGGGACCUCCUAAAGCUUGUGACACCAAGGCGUGCAGGGUGACCGCGCGCUGGCCAGGGUAACACCCUCGGGUAUGGUAACAGCUCACAAGAUGUACCAAUGGACGAUCCGCAGCCAAGCUCCCCACCGGCGCACCGCCGAGGGAGAAGGUUCAGAGACUAAGUGGCGGUCGGUCUCUUCAAGGGGCUUAAGAUAUAGUCCACCACUGCCGAGAGGCAGCCACGAGACGAACGGCAUCAGCGGUGCUUGGAGUUCGUGGAGCAGGUGCAAGCCUGUGUGAGUGAGUGGGUGGUGCAUGGCCGUUCUUAGUUGGUGGGUUGCCUUGUCAGGUUGAUUCCGGUAACGAACGAGACCUCAGCCUGCUAAAUAGGCACGUCUGCUCCGGCAGUCGCCGGUCUUCUUAGAGGGACUGUUGGCGUUUAGCCAAUGGAAGUAUGAGGCAAUAACAGGUCUGUGAUGCCCUUAGAUGUUCUGGGCCGCACGCGCGCUACACUGAUACGUUCAACAAGUUCCUGUUCCGAAAGGCUCGGGAAAUCUUUGAAACCGUAUCGUGAUGGGGAUAGAACAUUGCAAUUAUUGUUCUUCAACGAGGAAUGCCUAGUAAGCGCGAGUCAUCAUCUCGCGUUGAUUACGUCCCUGCCCUUUGUACACACCGCCCGUCGCUCCUACCGAUUGAACGUGCUGGUGAAGAGUUAGGACUGGAUUGUUGGCUAGGUCUCCUGGUCGGCUGUUCGGGAAUUUCUUUAAACCCUCCCGUUUAGAGGAAGGAGAAGUCGUAACAAGGUUUCCGUUAAAGAAUUACAUUCACCAGCGGAUAAGAGGGCCAGUGAAAAGCUGCUUUGCCCUAGUGAGUGCCUCUGCACUUGCGACACUGUCAAAUUGCCGGGACCUCUCGCCAAGCCAAUGGUACCGCCUGGGCUCUGAAAGGAUCUCUGGCACCGCGGCGAAAGUCGUGGGUAUGGUAAGAAUUCAUUGGUUAGAGACGAUCGGCAGCCAAGCCCUAAGGGUCUUCUAGAUCUAUGGGUGCAGUUCACAGACUAAAUGGCAGUGGGUCUGGACCUGUGAUAACGGGACCAGUGCCUAAGAUAUAGUCGGCCCCUACCGAGAGGUAGUCUCUGGGAGGAAGGGCCUUGGUGCCUGGAGAGCCCAGAGGAGUGCAGGAUAGUAGAACGUGCUGCAAGGUACGCUCGGCCUCUGCCUGACUGCACGUGUGUGCAUGGCACUUGGCCUCUGCGCUGGAUGAAGUGAGGUGAACCUGCGGAAGGAUCAUUGAAACCAUCAUAUCCACUCGCGAACCACAACUCUGUACGCCUGCGACUGUGCGAAAGCACGCGCCCGUCGGGGAGGGGACAUCCUCGUCGGGGGGUAAGCUGGGGGCGACCCCUCUUGCCUUAGGCCAAUCCAUUUUUCUCACCGGACCAAACCAAUUGACUGAAGCUAGAAGCGCCUGGGGCCUCCCCAGCGUAUCUAAUUGAGACAACUCUCAACAACGGAUAUCUUGGCUCUCGCAACGAUGAAGAACGCAGCGAAAUGGGAUACGUAGUGUGAAUUGCAGAAUUCCGUGAAUCAUCGAAUCUUUGAACGCAUAUUGCGGUCACGCUUCGGUGUGACCAUGUCUGCCUCAGCGUCGGAGUAAACCCUCACAACCCCUACCCACGGGUGGGGCGCGUGGACCUGGCCUCCCGAGGCCGCCUCCCCUUGUGGGUGGCGCUCGGCUGGCUGAAAGCUAGAGGAACGUGCUCGGGCUUGUAUGGCACCGACCAGGCAGGUAGUCUUUCUACUCCUGUUGGCGCCUUGAGCCCGCGGUGCUUCCCGCAGGAAAACACUCUAUUUCUCGACCUGAGUUCAGGCAAGG